CUGCCGGAAGAUCGGCCCGCGUCUGAUUAGCUAGUUGGUGGGGUAACGGCCUACCAAGGCGACGAUCAGUAGCUGGUCUGAGAGGAUGAUCAGCCACACUGGGACUGAGACACGGCCCAGACUCCUACGGGAGGCAGCAGUGGGGAAUAUUGGACAAUGGGCGCAAGCCUGAUCCAGCCAUGCCGCGUGAGUGAUGAAGGCCUUAGGGUUGUAAAGCUCUUUUAUCCGGGACGAUAAUGACGGUACCGGAGGAAUAAGCCCCGGCUAACUUCGUGCCAGCAGCCGCGGUAAUACGAAGGGGGCUAGCGUUGCUCGGAAUCACUGGGCGUAAAGGGCGCGUAGGCGGUCUUUUAAGUCGGGGGUGAAAGCCUGUGGCUCAACCACAGAAUUGCCUUCGAUACUGGGAGACUUGAGUUCGGAAGAGGUUGGUGGAACUGCGAGUGUAGAGGUGAAAUUCGUAGAUAUUCGCAA
Molecule: ribosomal RNA, 471 nt
Filed under: bacterium
Lineage: Bacteria
Description: bacterial SSU rRNA
Rfam family: Bacterial small subunit ribosomal RNA
Source: RNAcentral